Molecule: ribosomal RNA, 484 nt
Filed under: uncultured bacterium
Lineage: Bacteria
Description: bacterial SSU rRNA
Rfam family: Bacterial small subunit ribosomal RNA
Source: RNAcentral
AAUCAACGCUGGCGGCGUGCCUCAGACAUGCAAGUCGAACGAUUAAAGCUCUCUUCGGAGAGUGUAUAGAGUGGCGCACGGGUGAGUAACACGUAAGUAAUCUACCCUCGAGUGGGGAAUAACAACCGGAAACGGUUGCUAAUACCGCAUAAUGCAGCGGCACCGCAAGGUGACAGUUGUUAAAAGAUUUAUCGCUUGAGGAGGAGCUUGCGGCAGAUUAGCUAGUUGGUAGGGUAACGGCUUACCAAGGCUACGAUCUGUAACCGGUCUAAGAGGACGGUCGGUCACACUGACACUGAAUAACGGGUCAGACUCCUACGGGAGGCAGCAGUCGGGAAUUUUGGGCAAUGGGCGAGAGCCUGACCCAGCAACGCCGCGUGAAGGAUGGAAGUAUUUCGGUAUGUAAACUUCGAAAGAAUAGGAAGAAUUAAUGACGGUACUAUUUAUAAGGUCCGGCUAACUACGUGCCAGCAGCCGCGGUAAU